CUAUACAUGACUCUGCGCAUAUCAAUAAGCGGAGGAAAAGAAACUAACAAGGAUUCCCUUAGUAACGGCGAGUGAAGCGGGAAGAGCUCAAAUUUGAAAUCUUCAAGGUUCUACCUUGACGAAUUGUAGUUUAUAAGAAGUGUUUUCUGUUAGUAGAGUUGGCUAAAAGUUCUUUGGAAUAGGACAUCAUAGAGGGUGAGAAUCCCGUAUUUGACCAUUAUUUCAGCUGUGUGAUACACUUUCAAAGAGUCGGAUUGUUUGGGAAUGCAGUCCAAAAUGGGUGGUAAAUUUCAUCUAAAGCUAAAUAUUGGCGAGAGACCGAUAGCGAACAAGUACCGUGAGGGAAAGAUGAAAAGAACUUUGAAAAGAGAGUUAAACAGUACGUGAAAUUGUCAAAAGGGAAGCGUUUGACACCAGUGUUGUUUUCUCGAAAAUCAAUUAAAAAGGAUGGAUUUUGUGUUGUAUUGACCUUAUCAAGCUUUCUUCACUUUUUCUUAGUCUUUCUUAAUGCACUUUUCGUUUAACAAGUCAACAUCAGUUUCUUUUGUUGUAAAAGGGUCAUUGGAAGGUGGCUUUUCUUUCGGAGAAAGUGUUUAUAGCCUUUGCUUCUGCAAUCGGAGAGAUUGAGGUCUGCAGCGUAGAUCCUUCGGGGUUAGAUACAUUUGUGCUAAGCUAUAGUUCUUUAUAGACAACUUGUUGACUAUAUCUAGUCCUGUAGCUUACUCGCUUAUGCUAUUUUACCUACGCUUAGGAUGUUGACACACGCGCGUGCUCG
Molecule: ribosomal RNA, 775 nt
Filed under: uncultured Neocallimastigales
Lineage: Eukaryota; Fungi; Neocallimastigomycota; Neocallimastigomycetes; Neocallimastigales
Description: partial large subunit ribosomal RNA
Rfam family: Eukaryotic large subunit ribosomal RNA
Source: RNAcentral